GCCUUUCUGACACUUUUCCCUUCAACCAAAUAAUCACAUAUGAGCCCUCACGCUCGGAAAACUAGAUGAGCAAGACCGAAAUGAACAAAACAACAUUCAGAUAAACAAAACAAAUUUCCAAAUAAACUCAAACCGUAAAUGCCACUCGACAUCCUUGGGAUGAAAUUUACAACCAUUCUUCCUUCUUUUCUCCGUAUAGUUACUGGGAAGUCGUCUCUCAAAUCAAGUGCAUUCUCAACUAUUUUCAAGUCGCAAAUAGUAAGAGGAUGGGGCGGCUGUUAUGAGGUGUUGGGAAGAUGCUGGUGGGAUGGGUUAGAGAUAGGGCUGAG
This 329-nucleotide unclassified non-coding RNA is filed under the name Hevea brasiliensis (rubber tree). Lineage: Eukaryota; Viridiplantae; Streptophyta; Magnoliopsida; Malpighiales; Euphorbiaceae. The record is from RNAcentral.